RNAcentral lists this transfer RNA (73 nucleotides) under Camelus bactrianus (Bactrian camel). It matches the Rfam family "tRNA". Rfam says of the family: Transfer RNA (tRNA) molecules are approximately 80 nucleotides in length. Their secondary structure includes four short double-helical elements and three loops (D, anti-codon, and T loops). RNAcentral also lists the same sequence under 2 other names. The record is from Rfam by way of RNAcentral. Lineage: Eukaryota; Metazoa; Chordata; Mammalia; Artiodactyla; Camelidae.
GAGGGUAUAGCUCAAGUGGUAGAGCACAUGCUUAGCAUGCAACAAGUCCUGGGUUCAAUCUCCGGUACCUCCU